AGUGAACGCUGGCGGUAGGCCUAACACAUGCAAGUCGAACGGCAGCACAGUAAGAGCUUGCUCUUACGGGUGGCGAGUGGCGGACGGGUGAGGAAUACAUCGGAAUCUACUUUUUCGUGGGGGAUAACGUAGGGAAACUUACGCUAAUACCGCAUACGACCUACGGGUGAAAGCAGGGGAUCUUCGGACCUUGCGCGAUUGAAUGAGCCGAUGCCGGAUUAGCUAGUUGGCGGGGUAAAGGCCCACCAAGGCGACGAUCCGUAGCUGGUCUGAGAGGAUGAUCAGCCACACUGGAACUGAGACACGGUCCAGACUCCUACGGGAGGCAGCAGUGGGGAAUAUUGGACAAUGGGCGCAGGCCUGAUCCAGCCAUACCGCGUGGGUGAAGAAGGCCUUCGGGUUGUAAAGCCCUUUUGUUGGGAAAGAAAAGCAGCAGGUUAAUACCCCGCUGUUCUGACGGUACCCAAAGAAUAAGCACCGGCUAACUUCGU
RNAcentral lists this ribosomal RNA (491 nucleotides) under uncultured bacterium. RNAcentral describes it as "partial 16S ribosomal RNA". It matches the Rfam family "Bacterial small subunit ribosomal RNA", at positions 29 to 506 of the family's 1533-position model. The record is from RNAcentral.